AGGGCACCACCAGGAGUGGAGCCUGCGGCUUAAUUUGACUCAACACGGGGAAACUCACCCGGCCCGGACACCGGAAGGAUUGACAGAUUGAUAGCUCUUUCUUGAUUCGGUGGAUGGUGGUGCAUGGCCGUUCUUAGUUGGUGGAGCGAUCUGUCUGGUUAAUUCCGAUAACGAACGAGACUCUAGCCUAUUAAAUAGACGUCGGGUUCUCUGCACUCGACGGUCUUCUUAGAGGGACAAGGUGCUUUUAGCACCGCGAAACAGAGCAAUAACAGGUCUGUGAUGCCCUUAGAUGUCCGGGGCCGCACGCGCGCUACACUGAAGGAAGCAGCGUGUAACAACCUUGUUCUAACGAACUGGGUAACCCGUGGAACUUCCUUCAUGAUUGGGAUAGGGGUUUGCAAUUGUGCCCCUUGAACGAGGAAUUCCCAGUAAACACUAGACAUCAGCUAGUGCUGAUUACGUCCCUGCCCUUUGUACACACCGCCCGUCGCUACUACCGAUUGAAUGGUUUAGUGA
Molecule: ribosomal RNA, 519 nt
Filed under: uncultured eukaryote
Lineage: Eukaryota
Description: SSU rRNA
Rfam family: Eukaryotic small subunit ribosomal RNA
Source: RNAcentral